RNAcentral lists this long non-coding RNA (1361 nucleotides) under Coturnix japonica (Japanese quail). RNAcentral's name for it is "lncRNA (ENSCJPG00005016821.1)". Lineage: Eukaryota; Metazoa; Chordata; Aves; Galliformes; Phasianidae. The record is from RNAcentral.
GAGGAACUCUACCCCUGCACGUGAGCGGUGAGCAAUAGUAUUACUGAGACAGUUUGAGACUUACAGAACUGGUAAAGCUGCAGGGGAUUGAUUCAUGACAAAUGGGGAAUGCACUGUUAGGCUAAAAAACUGUGUGAGAUACAAAAACGGUUACUUACCCGAACAAUAACACGUGGUGAGAAGUCAAGCCCCAAGGAAUUGUUAAGAAGAAAUAUACCCAAAGGAUAACGUCUAUCAUGCUGCGGUUUGGCCAGCACCUCAUCAAGCCAUCUGUGGUCUUCCUGAAAACUGAGCUCUCUUAUGCUCUCGUGAACCGCAAGCCGGUGGUCCCAGGCCGUAUCCUUUUAACCAGUGCCUUGACCAUGGGUACCUGCACUCCUGGGAGAAGCAGGGAAGCUUGGUAUGCUCUUCAGGCCAGGUUUGUCCACAUCUUGAACAUUAGUCUUCAACACAGCCAUCAGAAUGUAAUAUGCAGCACACACAGGGUUAACAGCCUGGAGCUUCAGCUUCAGGGUCGAGAUCCUUCUCUGAGCCAAGAUAAUUGGAUUGCUACUGUCUCAAAAGGGCUCUUAAAGCAAAAAGGCAAUUUAGAUGUGUCUGUUUAAAAACAAAUUACAGAAUCCAGUAUAUCUUGAUGCCACAUUGAAUUCAAUGAACCCGUGUCCUGAAGGCUGUUAUGUUUCAGUAUUUUGAUCUGGUUUUGUUACGUACGUGCAUCCUGUGUUUAGCUGGAUCCAGUCUUCUUUGGAACUUGAAUUUGUCAUGUCCUUAUUUUGUAGAUUCAUCCCAUCUUGAGGGGUCAGUCUUCUUUGCUGUCCUUCAGGGACUUUCAUGUCUUUCACAGUGAAUUCAACUAACAAUAAUUUGCUUUGAUCUAAAAGGCUGUUUUCCAAUCUUACACGACUUGCUUUCUUUAGUUUGCCUUGCUGCCCUACCAUGUAUCCAAGUAGAAGGUUCAGAUACUUACAAGACUAUUUUCAUUAUUGUUUGUUUCAAAAUGAAUUUUUGAGUAAUUCCUUCAGUAAAAUAGAAUAAGAAAGAUUUAAUCACAUUCCUUGCUUUGAUGUAUAUAUGGCAUAAGGACUGCUUCAUUUUGAUACUAGUGUUUGAAUUAAAUUUUUUUUAUUAUUUUUUUUAGUCUCAAGAAAAUGUUGAAUGUUCAGUACUGUAGAGCUGUGCAUUGUAAUCAUAAAAAAAAAAAUUGGAAAGAUUGUGCUUGUAGCAUUCUCAUAAACACCUCUGUAGUCUAGUUUCAGCUUUAAAGCAAAUACUGUUAUAAUGGCACAUGUAGUUCUGCUCCCAAUGUAGUAAAUUCUAAUGAAAUCAAUAAAAGCAUAAAGACAGAAUUAGUAGCUAACUCA